RNAcentral lists this ribosomal RNA (223 nucleotides) under uncultured bacterium. Its description in RNAcentral is "partial 16S ribosomal RNA". It matches the Rfam family "Bacterial small subunit ribosomal RNA", at positions 15 to 226 of the family's 1533-position model. The record is from RNAcentral.
GAUCAUGGCUCAGGAUGAACGCUAGCUACAGGCUUAACACAUGCAAGUCGAGGGGCAGCAUGGUCUUAGCUUGCUAAGGCUGAUGGCGACCGGCGCACGGGUGAGUAACACGUAUCCAACCGUGCCGUCUACUCUUGGCCAGCCUUCUGAAAGGAAGAUUAAUCCAGGAUGGGAUCAUGAGUUCACAUGUCCGCAUGAUUAAAGGUAUUUUCUGGUAGACGAG